RNAcentral lists this microRNA (23 nucleotides) under Euprymna scolopes. RNAcentral's name for it is "Esc-Mir-12519-v1_5p (mature (guide))". The record is from RNAcentral. RNAcentral also lists the same sequence under 2 other names. Lineage: Eukaryota; Metazoa; Mollusca; Cephalopoda; Sepiida; Sepiolidae.
UUUUCUGUUGCGCCAAGGGCAUA